RNAcentral lists this ribosomal RNA (619 nucleotides) under uncultured archaeon. RNAcentral describes it as "bacterial SSU rRNA". It matches the Rfam family "Archaeal small subunit ribosomal RNA", at positions 102 to 724 of the family's 1478-position model. The record is from RNAcentral.
AGUCAACAUGCCCAGGGGACGUGGAUAACCUCGGGAAACUGAGGAUAAACCACGAUAGGUCAUAAUAUCUGGAAUGAUUUAUGGCUAAAAUCUACAUGGCCUCUGGAUUGGACUGCGGCCGAUCAGGCUGUUGGUGAGGUAAUGGCCCACCAAACCUAAAACCGGUACGGGCUCUGAGAGGAGAAGCCCGGAGAUGGGCACUGAGACAAGGGCCCAGGCCCUAUGGGGCGCAGCAGGCGCGAAAACUCUGCAAUAGGCGAAAGCUUGACAGGGUUAUUCUGAGUGAUUUCCGCUAAGGAAAUCUUUUGGCACCUCUAAAAAUGGUGCAGAAUAAGGGGUGGGCAAGCCUGGUGUCAGCCGCCGCGGUAAUACCAGCACCCCGAGUGGUCGGGACGAUUAUUGGGCCUAAAGCAUCCGUAGCCGGUUCUACAAGUCUUCCGUUAAAUCCAUCUGCUUAACAGAUGGGCUGCGGAGGAUACUAUGGAGCUAGGAGGCGGGAGAGGCAAGCGGUACUUAGUGGGUAGGGGUAAAAUCCGUUGAUCCACUGAAGACCACCAGUGGCGAAGGCGGCUUGCCAGAACGCGCUCGACGGUGAGGGAUGAAAGCUGGGGGAGCAAAC